This 497-nucleotide ribosomal RNA is filed under the name uncultured bacterium. RNAcentral's name for it is "partial 16S ribosomal RNA". It matches the Rfam family "Bacterial small subunit ribosomal RNA", at positions 28 to 523 of the family's 1533-position model. The record is from RNAcentral.
GAUGAACGCUAGCGGCAGGCUUAAUACAUGCAAGUCGAACGGUAAGGUCUCUUCGGAGAUACACGAGUGGCGCACGGGUGCGUAACGCGUAUGCAACCUACCUUUAACUGGGAAAUAGCCCCGAGAAAUCGGGAUUAAUGUCCCAUAUUAUUCUGAGGAUACCUACACUUAGAAUGAAAGCUCCGGCGGUUAUUGAUGGGCAUGCGUGACAUUAGCUAGUUGGUGAGGUAACGGCUCACCAAGGCAACGAUGUCUAGGAGUCCUGAGAGGGUUAUCCCCCACACUGGUACUGAGACACGGAACAGACUCCUACGGGAGGCAGCAGUAAGGAAUAUUGGGCAAUGGACGCAAGUCUGACCCAGCCAUGCCGCGUGAAGGAUGAAUGUCCUAUGGAUUGUAAACUUCUUUUAUGCAGGAAAAAUAUCCCGGUCGUGAACCGGGACUGAUGGUACUGUAUGAAUAAGCAUCGGCUAACUCCGUGCCAGCCGCCGCUGUAA